RNAcentral lists this non-coding RNA (28 nucleotides) under Mus musculus (house mouse). Lineage: Eukaryota; Metazoa; Chordata; Mammalia; Rodentia; Muridae. The record is from RNAcentral.
UGGCAAUAAAGGGUUGAAAGCACACAGC